RNAcentral lists this non-coding RNA (30 nucleotides) under Mus musculus (house mouse). Lineage: Eukaryota; Metazoa; Chordata; Mammalia; Rodentia; Muridae. The record is from RNAcentral.
UCCACACCCUCUUGGUCACUUUUAUACGAU